GUUGUAUAGAUGUGUGGAGCCGUGUGAGUACUAAGGGUGCAUGCGUUGUGCGGAUGUAUUGUGGGGAAAGUGUGGGUAGGGGGCGUGGGAGGUGAGCUGUGUAAACUCGAGGAGGAACCGCGUGACGUCGGUUGAAGCCACCGGGCUAUAGUCCGGAAGAGGAGAGUGGAAUUCCCGGUGUAGCGGUGAAAUGCGCAGAUAGCGGGAAGAACACCCGUGGCGAAGGCGGCUCUCUGGGACGGUACUGACGCUGAGACGCGAAAGCGUGGGGAGCGAACAGGAUUAGAUACCCGGGUAGUC
This 300-nucleotide ribosomal RNA is filed under the name uncultured Bacillus sp. RNAcentral's name for it is "partial 16S ribosomal RNA". It matches the Rfam family "Bacterial small subunit ribosomal RNA", at positions 496 to 795 of the family's 1533-position model. The record is from RNAcentral. Lineage: Bacteria; Bacillati; Bacillota; Bacilli; Caryophanales; Bacillaceae.